CCUGCCCUUGGGUCCGGCAUAACCCCGGGAAACUGGGGAUAAUUCCGGAUAACGCAUAUAUGCUGGAAUGCUUUAUGCGUCAAAUGGAUUCGUCUGCCCAAGGAUGGGUCUGCGGCCUAUCAGGUAGUAGUGGGUGUAAUGUACCUACUAGCCGACGACGGGUACGGGUUGUGAGAGCAAGUGCCCGGAGAUGGAUUCUGAGACAUGAAUCCAGGCCCUACGGGGCGCAGCAGGCGCGAAAACUUUACAAUGCGGGAAACCGUGAUAAGGGGACACCGAGUGCCAGCAUCAUAUGCUGGCUGUCCGGGUGUGUAAAAUACACCCGUUAGCAAGGGCCGGGCAAGACCGGUGCCAGCCGCCGCGGUAACACCGGCGGCCCGAGUGGUGAUCGUGAUUAUUGGGUCUAAAGGGUCCGUAGCCGGUUUGGUCAGUCCUCCGGGAAAUCUGACGGCUUAACCGUUAGGCUUUCGGAGGAUACUGCCAGGCUUGGAACCGGGAGAGGUAAGAGGUACUACAGGGGUAGGAGUGAAAUCUUGUAAUCCCUGUGGGACCACCUGUGGCGAAGGCGUCUUACCAGA
This 578-nucleotide ribosomal RNA is filed under the name Methanosarcina sp. enrichment culture clone A02. RNAcentral's name for it is "bacterial SSU rRNA". It matches the Rfam family "Archaeal small subunit ribosomal RNA", at positions 108 to 684 of the family's 1478-position model. The record is from RNAcentral. Lineage: Archaea; Methanobacteriati; Methanobacteriota; Methanomicrobia; Methanosarcinales; Methanosarcinaceae.